AUUGAACGCUGGCGGCAUGGCUAAAACAUGCAAGUCGAACGAUCCCUUCGGGGAGAGUGGCGAAAGGGCGAGGAAUAGAAUCGAAUGUACCCCAAGGUGGGGGAUAGCCUCUGGAAACGGAGGGUAAUACCCCAUGUGCUCUACGGAGGAAAGGUUUACCGCCUUGGGAGCAGCGAUUUCUCCUAUCAGGUAGUUGGUGAGGUAACGGCUCACCAAGCCGAAGACGGGUAGCGGGUGUGAGAGCAUGACCCGCCGCAUCGGGACUGAGACACUGCCCGGACUCCUACGGGAGGCUGCAGUAACGAAUCUUCCGCAAUGGGCGAAAGCCUGACGGAGCAAUGCCGCGUGUGGGAUGAAGCAUCUUCGAUGUGUAAACCACUGUCAGGGUCUAGGAAUACUGACCAGACCCAAAGGAAGGGCCGGCUAAUUCCGUG
This 434-nucleotide ribosomal RNA is filed under the name uncultured bacterium. RNAcentral describes it as "bacterial SSU rRNA". It matches the Rfam family "Bacterial small subunit ribosomal RNA", at positions 30 to 507 of the family's 1533-position model. The record is from RNAcentral.